GUAGUCAUAUGCUUGUCUCAAAGAUUAAGCCAUGCAUGUCUAAGUAUAAGCACUUUAUACUGUGAAACUGCGAAUGGCUCAUUAAAUCAGUUAUCGUUUAUUUGAUAGUACCUUACUACAUGGAUACCUGUGGUAAUUCUAGAGCUAAUACAUGCUAAAAACCUCGACUUCGGAAGGGGUGUAUUUAUUAGAUAAAAAACCAAUGCCCUUCGGGGCUCCUUGGUGAUUCAUAAUAACUUAACGAAUCGCAUGGCCUUGCGCCGGCGAUGGUUCAUUCAAAUUUCUGCCAUAUCAACUUUCGAUGGUAGGAUAGUGGCCUACCAUGGUGGCAACGGGUAACGGGGAAU
RNAcentral lists this ribosomal RNA (347 nucleotides) under uncultured fungus. Its description in RNAcentral is "SSU rRNA". It matches the Rfam family "Eukaryotic small subunit ribosomal RNA", at positions 20 to 370 of the family's 1831-position model. Lineage: Eukaryota; Fungi. The record is from RNAcentral.